This 639-nucleotide long non-coding RNA is filed under the name Gossypium raimondii (Peruvian cotton). RNAcentral describes it as "long non-coding RNA (GRAI_LNC003308)". Lineage: Eukaryota; Viridiplantae; Streptophyta; Magnoliopsida; Malvales; Malvaceae. The record is from RNAcentral.
UUAAAAAAAGAUAUUGUGUUCCAAAUAAUGUUCCCACUUGUCCAAAAUUCCAAAUUACUCUCACAAGAAUUAGUGUUUUUUUUGUGAACAUGUGAAGCCAUCAUACAUUUACUACAAUCAUGAUAUGUUUGAACAUAAUUAAUAAAUAUUAUUUUUAUUUGCAUUUAAAAAAUACCAAGAUCGAUUCUGGGCAGAGGAGGGCCCUUCGAUGGUGGAGUUUACUGUUGCCGUCGACAGGUGGUGGGUGGAUCCACCGGAUUAGUUCUCAGAAACUGGUUGUCUCAUGGCGGUAAGUUUCUACUGAUUUUGUCCUGCUUCGCGUUUUGAUUCUCCCAUGAUGAUGGCUCACUGAUAAAUUUUCUAGACCAGCGGUAUGUUUGGAUGAACGAUUGGGUGCGGUGCGGUGCGUUUAAUUUACUUUUUGUUUCACGCUACAGUAUCGCUAUAUUAUCUAAUCUCACUGCCACCGCUAUUUUUACACUAACCGUAGGUAAACGCACGAGGCUUUUUGAUUUCUGUUUAGGGGCUCUGGUAUAAAGAGUGUUUGGUUUGCUUUUCUUUAUUUUCUGUCAACGUUCCGUUUGCUGGUAUGUAUUUUCUUAUUUUUCUUUUCUCUAUUUGGUCAAUUUAUGAAUGUAC